Molecule: small nuclear RNA, 189 nt
Organism: Polyodon spathula (Mississippi paddlefish)
Lineage: Eukaryota; Metazoa; Chordata; Actinopteri; Acipenseriformes; Polyodontidae
Product: U2 spliceosomal RNA
Exons: 1
Source: RefSeq, a predicted model, not a curated record
AUUAAUAUUCAAAAAAAAAAAAAAAAAUCUGUUGUUAUCAGUUUUUUAAGUGCUGAUUAUACGUCCCCCCAUAGGGGGACCGUCUAUAGUAAAUGGAUUUUUGGAAGCGGGAGAUGGACGCGGGGCUUGCUCCGUCCACUCCACGCAUCGGCCCGUUAUUGCAGUGCCUCCGGGAACGGUGCACAUCUU